CUCUCUCUCCCUCUUUCUCUUCCCCUCUCUUUCUCUCCCUGUCUUUUUGUCUCUCUUUAUGUCUAUUGCAUUAUGCCUGAAUAAUUUUCACUCUUUUUUUUUCCUCCCCUCUUGCACGCACAUGCUAAAAUAACUAGACAAAGAUGCAAGGUGGUUGCUGCAGUCCCUGUCUCUAGGAAAGAACCAAGAAAGCUUAGGAUUGCAAUGCCACCUUUCCUUUUUUUCUUUCUUUUCUUUUUUUUUUUUUCUUCCCCAGCCAUGCUCGGUGAUUAAACUUCCUCAGGAUGGGGAAGAAAAGGAGCUGGAAAUGAAAUAGGGUUGAGGAAAAAUCCCAUUGCAGCAGCUGCAGCCAGCGGUGUGUGCUGCCAGAUGUGUGAAGGUUCCUGGGGUCCUUGUCACUAAAAGGCAGUAUUCAAAUAUUUGGAGACAAAAGCUGCAUCCUCAGUGAUCAUUUUCUUUAUUUAACAUGGCAGCAGGCAUCGUGUGGGAAAAAAUCAACACACUGGAUGUUGAAUUGGACUUUUCUCCUUCCUGGGAUGAAAGGAUGUUAUCUAUCCCGUGCCAAGAGGGAACUGAGGUGCAGGGGGAGGGGAAGAAAGUCUUCAAAACUAGCCCGCCAUGGUACUGGUCUCUUAGCCUGUAGGGCUUGUGCAUGAUGUAUAUGAGAGCGAUUUCCAGCAGAGUGAAGCUUAUCACAGAUCCACCUAAAAGGUAAGGAUAUUUUUUUUAAUUUUUAGUUCACAUGCUGAACAGCUGCCUGCUGAACACCUGCCCACGGAG
RNAcentral lists this long non-coding RNA (780 nucleotides) under Manacus vitellinus (golden-collared manakin). RNAcentral's name for it is "lncRNA (ENSMVIG00005001396.1)". Lineage: Eukaryota; Metazoa; Chordata; Aves; Passeriformes; Pipridae. The record is from RNAcentral.